This 339-nucleotide unclassified non-coding RNA is filed under the name Hevea brasiliensis (rubber tree). The record is from RNAcentral. Lineage: Eukaryota; Viridiplantae; Streptophyta; Magnoliopsida; Malpighiales; Euphorbiaceae.
GCUGCAAUCUAUGCCUUGACCACAGGCAUAGUCGAGACUUGCCUGUAAUUGAGCAGCAGAAACACCAGACUUGGGCAUACACCAGACUGCUCCUGUUGGUUUUGCUGAUGGACUUGGAGUUUUGGGGGUUGAUGGAGUCUGAGGAUGAACCAGCAUAAAUUAAUCCACAAAUUUCAAAGAAUGACAACUACAACAGAACAUAUAAUAUUAAGAAAAAUUCCACAAAGGCUCCUAGUUUUCUCAAUGAAAGAUAAUCUAUGGAAACAUGAACAUAUUCUCUUACUAGGCUACUCUUUGAGAAACCAACAUCAUAUAUCAUGGAAAGGUCAGGUUUGAAAA